GCCGAUAGAGGAGCAAAUGACAAGAGUAGAAUUAAUGAGCUUUGCAAGCGAUGAUUUAAUUCAAAAGGGGAAUUUGCCGAAACAAAAAAGCAGCAAAACUUUUUUGUUGGCAGUAUAAAUAAUAUUUAUGCUGCUGUCAUUGAUAAAAAAGGUCAGUGGAGAGCUAUCUG
RNAcentral lists this non-coding RNA (170 nucleotides) under uncultured Fusobacterium sp. RNAcentral's name for it is "Lysine riboswitch". It matches the Rfam family "Lysine riboswitch aptamer". Rfam says of the family: Riboswitches are metabolite binding domains within certain messenger RNAs that serve as precision sensors for their corresponding targets. Allosteric rearrangement of mRNA structure is mediated by ligand binding, and this results in modulation of gene expression. Lineage: Bacteria; Fusobacteriati; Fusobacteriota; Fusobacteriia; Fusobacteriales; Fusobacteriaceae. The record is from RNAcentral.